GGGGAAUCUUGGACAAUGGGCGAAAGCCUGAUCCAGCCAUGCCGCGUGAAUGAUGAAGGCCCUAGGGUUGUAAAAUUCUUUCGACGGGGAAGAUAAUGACGGUACCCGUAGAAGAAGCUCCGGCUAACUUCGUGCCAGCAGCCGCGGUAAUACGAAGGGGGCUAGCGUUGUUCGGAAUUACUGGGCGUAAAGCGCACGUAGGCGGAUCGAUAAGUAAGGGGUGAAAUCCCAGAGCUCAACUCUGGAACUGCCUUUUAAACUGUCGAUCUGGAGCAGAGUAGAGGUGAGUGGAAUUCCGAGUGUAGAGGUGAAAUUCGUAGAUAUUCGGAGGAACACCAGUGGCGAAGGCGGCUCACUGGACUCUUGCUGACGCUGAGGUGCGAAAGCGUGGGGAGCAAAC
Molecule: ribosomal RNA, 400 nt
Filed under: uncultured bacterium
Lineage: Bacteria
Description: bacterial SSU rRNA
Rfam family: Bacterial small subunit ribosomal RNA
Source: RNAcentral